Molecule: unclassified non-coding RNA, 306 nt
Filed under: uncultured Humicola
Lineage: Eukaryota; Fungi; Ascomycota
Description: sequence contains ITS1
Rfam family: 5.8S ribosomal RNA (bases 1-105)
Source: RNAcentral
GAAAUGCGAUAAGUAAUGUGAAUUGCAGAAUUCAGUGAAUCAUCGAAUCUUUGAACGCACAUUGCGCCCGCCCGUAUUCUGGCGGGCAUGCCUGUUCGAGCGUCAUUUCAACCAUCAAGCCCCCCGGGCUUGUGUUUGGAACCUGCGGCUGCCGCAGGCCCUGAAAACCAGUGGCGGGCUCGCUGUCACCCCGAGCGUAGUAGCGUAAACCCCGCUCAGGGAGUGCGGCGUGUCCCUUCCGAAAAAGGCGUCGUACGACACCCCAAGGUUGACCUCGGAUCAGGUAGGAAGACCCGCUGACCUUAA